RNAcentral lists this ribosomal RNA (453 nucleotides) under uncultured bacterium. RNAcentral's name for it is "bacterial SSU rRNA". It matches the Rfam family "Bacterial small subunit ribosomal RNA", at positions 9 to 455 of the family's 1533-position model. The record is from RNAcentral.
GAGUUUGAUCUUGGCUCAGGACGAACGCUGGCGGCGUGCCUAACACAUGCAAGUCGAACGGACUUUGCGAGGGCUUGCUCUUGCAAAGUUAGUGGCGGACGGGUGAGUAACGCGUGAGCAACCUGCCUUACAGAGGGGGACAACAUUGGGAAACCGAUGCUAAUACCGCAUAAGAUUAUAGAACCGCAUGGUUUGGUAAUCAAAGGAGGAAUCCGCUGUAAGAUGGGCUCGCGUCCGAUUAGAUAGUAGGCGGGGUAACGGCCCACCUAGUCGACGAUCGGUAGCCGGACUGAGAGGUUGAACGGCCACAUUGGGACUGAGAUACGGCCCAGACUCCUACGGGAGGCAGCAGUGGGGGAUAUUGCACAAUGGGGGAAACCCUGAUGCAGCAACGCCGCGUGAGGGAAGAAGGUCUUCGGAUUGUAAACCUUUGUUCUUGGUGACGAAGAAGUG